GCAGCAGUGAGGAAUUUUGCGCAAUGGGCGAAAGCCUGACGCAGCAACGCCGCGUGAGUGAUGAAGGCUUUCGGGUCGUAAAGCUCUGUCAAGUGGGAAGAACCUAUAUAAUGCCAAUACCAUUAUAUACUGACGGUACCACUGAAGGAAGCACCGGCUAACUCCGUGCCAGCAGCCGCGGUAAUACGGGGGGUGCAAGCGUUAUUCGGAAUCAUUGGGCGUAAAGAGCACGUAGGCGGCCUGGUAAGUCAGAUGUGAAAGCCCGGGGCUUAACCCCGGAAGUGCAUUUGAUACUGUCAGGCUUGAGUAUGGGAGAGGGAAGUGGAAUUCCUGGUGUAGAGGUGAAAUUCGUAGAUAUCAGGAGGAACACCGGUGGCGAAGGCGACUUCCUGGACCAAUACUGACGCUGAGGUGCGAAGGCGUGGGUAGCAAACAGGAUUAGAUACCCUGGUAGUCCACGCAGUAAACGUUGAUCACUAGGUGUAGCGGGUAUUGACCCCUGCUGUGCCGCAGUUAACGCAUUAAGUG
RNAcentral lists this ribosomal RNA (528 nucleotides) under uncultured bacterium. RNAcentral's name for it is "bacterial SSU rRNA". It matches the Rfam family "Bacterial small subunit ribosomal RNA", at positions 348 to 866 of the family's 1533-position model. The record is from RNAcentral.